RNAcentral lists this ribosomal RNA (451 nucleotides) under uncultured bacterium. RNAcentral's name for it is "bacterial SSU rRNA". It matches the Rfam family "Bacterial small subunit ribosomal RNA", at positions 29 to 524 of the family's 1533-position model. The record is from RNAcentral.
AACGAACGCUGGCGGCAUGCCUAACACAUGCAAGUCGAACGAGACCUUCGGGUCUAGUGGCGCACGGGUGCGUAACGCGUGGGAAUCUGCCCUUGGGUUCGGAAUAACAGCGAGAAAUUGCUGCUAAUACCGGAUGAUGACGUAAGUCCAAAGAUUUAUCGCCCAAGGAUGAGCCCGCGUAGGAUUAGCUAGUUGGUGAGGUAAAGGCUCACCAAGGCGACGAUCCUUAGCUGGUCUGAGAGGAUGAUCAGCCACACUGGGACUGAGACACGGCCCAGACUCCUACGGGAGGCAGCAGUGGGGGAAUAUUGGACAAUGGGCGAAAGCCUGAUCCAGCAAUGCCGCGUGAGUGAUGAAGGCCUUAGGGUUGUAAAGCUCUUUUACCCGGGAUGAUAAUGACAGUACCGGGAGAAUAAGCUCCGGCUAACUCCGUGCCAGCAGCCGCGGUAAU